CUCACGAGUGCUGGGAUUAAAUGUGUGCAUCAGCAUGCCCAGCUUACCACAGAACUUUUUGAGACACUCCAAAUCCAGUCUUAGGAUUCUCUGCAGCUCAGAUGUUGACUUUCUGCUCUCAUCUUCUUUAUCGUGAGGAGCCUCCAUCUACCCACCACUCAGUGUAAAAUAAAGGACAUGCCCAAGUGUCUGCAAAUACCAUCUUAUUUAAAACCAGUCGAGGCGGCUUUGAUGUGUUUGAUGCUAAAGGCCAAGUGAGCCUUUUGCUCUCUUUUGGUUGAUGAGACGGAGCCCCUUAUCACCCUCACACUACAAGAGCUCUUGUUGCAAGAUGGAGUCCACAUCAGUCAGCUCAACCUGGGUUUCUCCUGACACCCACAGAGAGGUCAUGGGAGUUAAGUUACUUAGCACCUGUGCGCUGACACUUGCCCUUCUCUGUGAUUCUAAGAUCUGGGAUCAGGGAGGCUGCAAGCGAACUAGUGCUCAGAGAAGGAGUACCUGCAGACACACACUGGUGGGACUCCCCUCAGGUGUCAUCUGGAGCACCUGCAGACACACACUGGUGGGACUCCCCUCAGGUGUCAUCUUAACUCUACAAAAAAGCCAAGACCCUUGUCCUCAGUGUAGCUGUUCUCAGCAGCCUCUGGAGAGCACCAGAUGCCACACCUCUGCCAAUUCUUUGUGCCAGGGCUGGUUGGCAGGGAGUGUGGCCAGCAGCAGAUGGGGCAAGGGGCAGAGAAGAGAACAUUCUGAACCAUUUUUGCAGAGUCACAUUUCUAACUUAGUCAAAAGUAGACUCUUUAAUAAUACAUAGGCUUUAAUCAACCAAAGGCUUGCCAUUGCCAAACUCUAGCAUAAAGUCGAUGCUCACAUCUGGGCGGUAAAUCCCUACAAGACAGCACUCACCAUGGAAACGCUGACACAUCCUUUCCUUCCCUCUUGGGAAUGAAACUCCUCAUUUCAGUGUGGUUUUCUUUAUUUUGAGCUGGAAUCACUUACAAGCCCUGGAACACGUCUCGUCUUGAUAGAAAACUAAAUGCUGCCCCCUGUCAGGCCUCAAAUGGAAGUGUCCUCUCAUCACAAUGGUGCACAUCCAGGUUUGGAAAACCAUGGAGACCAAGAAAAGAAAAUCCUGCAAGGUUUUUCCUAUUUCCUAGGAAAGGUGUGAACUCAGAAAGGAUUCGUGAGGAACCCAAGAGCACGUGGUAGAACCAUCACUACCCCACAGUGCCAGCCUCACAAGCUUCCAGCCCUGGGGAUUUCAAAUUAGAGAAGAUGAAGUUCCCUGCCCCAAGUUUAACAUCUAAAGUCCUGUGCUGUCUGAAGGGGGCGGCGACAGAUGCAUGACCUACAUCUUUUCAAGACAACGGCUUGCCCGAAGGCCGACAGCUCCAGUUCUGCUGUUCGGUGGCUAGAAGGCCUAUCGGGUAGACCAAAGCUCUAUGUGCAGUCCCGGGCCAGAGUGCUCAGGCUUCUACUCUGGCUCCUUUGGCUCCCAUAGCAAGAAACGGACAGUCCUCUGGGUCUCCAACAGUGUGACAGUUAUCCUAGGCUGAUGUCACAGGCUCUAUCUGAAGCAUUUAUCUAAAUUGUUCUAUUAUCAAUAAAAACUCAGGAGU
Long non-coding RNA from Peromyscus leucopus (white-footed mouse), 1619 nucleotides. RefSeq lists it as uncharacterized. The record is from RefSeq and is a predicted model, not a curated record. NCBI's taxonomy places the organism in Eukaryota, Metazoa, Chordata, Mammalia, Rodentia, Cricetidae. The transcript has 2 exons.